UACGGGGGGGGCAAGCGUUGUUCGGAAUUACUGGGCGUAAAGGGCGCGUAGGCGGUUGGAUAAGUCAGCUGUGAAAACCACGGGCUUAACUCGUGGCCUGCAGUUGAGACUGUCUGGCUUGAGUGCAGGAGAGGAACGCGGAAUUCCAGGUGUAGCGGUGAAAUGCGUAGAUAUCUGGAGGAACACCGGUGGCGAAGGCGGCGUUCUGGACUGCAACUGACACUGAGAAACGAAAGCCAGGGGAGCAAACGGG
RNAcentral lists this ribosomal RNA (253 nucleotides) under uncultured bacterium. Its description in RNAcentral is "partial 16S ribosomal RNA". It matches the Rfam family "Bacterial small subunit ribosomal RNA", at positions 524 to 776 of the family's 1533-position model. The record is from RNAcentral.